CAAACAUUAUACCUUUCUUCUUUGCUAAGGAAGAGGUUUUUCCCUGAUGUCAACGGAGUCACACUGCAGAAGAGCCACUGCUGAUGGGGUCUGUUCCAGCCCGUGGGGUGAGUGCCUGUCCUGCCUUCUCCCUACAGGCGGUGAGGCAGAGGCAUGGAGCAGAUCACUUUAUAUUCUUUGUUCGAGCAUGAGGACACCAAGACACAGAGAUGGGAGUGGUCUUACCCAAGGUCACUCUGAACAAAUUAUCAUGGCAAGAGUCACUCAUGAGUUCUGUGAGGAACAGCAGAGGAGAAUGUUGUCCAGCAUCCUGUGUUGGACUCCCACCAUGGUACUGUCUUUCAAGUCCAUCCUGUGAUCACCAAAUACUCUUGCCAUCUCUGACCAACCGAAGAAACAGAGGCUGGUCCAAACUGACUUCUGGUGCUGCAGACACUGAAGUCCCUGCAAAAGGAGAAACUUGAGAUGUCACUGGCUGAAGAUACCCCAGGUUACUGUGAAGAUAUUACAAACUGAGGCACAUGCAUAUUGUGGCUGUUUUUCCUGACCUUGGCGUCACAUGCAAGGAAACAAUUGGUGGGAAAGCAAAGGAGAAAAGAACAGUUAUUUCUCUGGGGCCCUGACAGAAGGAAUAAGAAUGUGGGGGCACCUGGGAUGGCCACGGAACAGAAACCCUGAAACAUCUCUUCACCCAUUUGUUCUGCAUUUUCCACUCUGUGGGUCCUGCUCCCCUCUUUCCUCACCCUCCCCCAGCUUGCCUGGUGAUUCAGGAAGAAGAGGCCAAGGAGAGUAAUAUUGUGCUGAAGACAGGACUGGAAGGGCAGUAAUUUAGACUCAGAGGCUUAUAGUAUUAUUGCCUGCAAAGCCAUUCAUGGGAAAUGAUUCCACCCAUCCCCAUUCCGCUCCCCCCCUCCAUACCACUCUCCUUGCUCUGCAAUAACAAUAACAGAAAUGCCUUCAGGAGGCUUUUCUACUCAAAAUGCAGGCAAAGGAGCACUCUUCUCCACCACCCCUCUUCUUUCCCUUCUCUUCUCCCUGCACUCGCUUGUCCCCCCUGCCUCUAAGCCUAACUGCUGCUCCCUCCCUUCUCCCCUCCCCCCCCCCACGGGAUAAAAAAAUAAAAAUAAUAAUAGGGGUAAUAAGAGAGGAGGU
This 1152-nucleotide long non-coding RNA is filed under the name Junco hyemalis (dark-eyed junco). RNAcentral describes it as "lncRNA (ENSJHYG00000017999.1)". The record is from RNAcentral. Lineage: Eukaryota; Metazoa; Chordata; Aves; Passeriformes; Passerellidae.